This is a non-coding RNA of Misgurnus anguillicaudatus (oriental weatherfish), 3571 nucleotides long. Lineage: Eukaryota; Metazoa; Chordata; Actinopteri; Cypriniformes; Cobitidae. The record is from RefSeq and is a predicted model, not a curated record.
UAAGUGUGUGUGCACUGUAAAACAUUAUAGCCUCAUUAAGUUAUGUGUACUAACAUUUGCUAUUUAGUUCUACUACACACAGCAAGUUUUAGAUAUUCAACCCAAGUCUGUAAGUUUUCACAAAGUUAAACUUAAAGUUACAUAUUGUCUUAACUACUUGUGAGUUGUCUCUGUGAUGUGAAUGUUCAUUUAACUAACUUCUGUAAGUUAUGAAUCACAACGAGAGGGAGGGGUCGUGUCCAGAAAAGACCGGGAAAAUUUCAGUUAACUUUACCUCAGACACAGCGCUCAUCUGAAAUGACCAAUAAUACAUUUUUUUUGCAAGGCUGCAAAGGAGGUAUGUAUGAUUUUUUUUGUCUUGAUGUAAUAAAGAUGCCCUUUAUACAUUUUUAGAUAAAAAUAUUGAGUUUAAAGUAAAGAAAAUAUGCAGACAUCGAGCCUGCUUUGCGAAUGCGUCGUCGUCAGGAUAUUUAUCUGCUUUCACAUCGAAGCAUCAAAUGUUAAAAGAGUUUAAUACACCAUGGGGACAAUUUUGGAUAUUUCAAUUGGUUGUGCGUAACGUUAUAUCGAUUAUUUUGAUUAUAAAUAUAGCUUACAGUUUAACAUUUAAGCUUAACAGAUUUGUUUGUUCACUGUCAAUGUGAAUUAAUCACGGGCUGAGUCUUAAGCGUUUAAGAAACGGGUAAUGUAUUAUUGUGAUGCUUGAAAGAUUUUUAUCCUCGUGCGAUUAAGGGCACGAGGGGAAUAUGCGUUGAAAUGAACGCAAAUAGUGUCUAAUAAGUGUUCGAGGAUCUGUUCGUCUGACAUAAAGGCCAUAAAAAACCUUUAAAUAGAUUUAUAUCUCUCAGUCACUUAACAAGUGGACACAAUAUCUGUUCGUUUCCACAGAAUUAUGUGUUUAAGUCUAGCAGGGCAGCCAUUUCAGGCUACUGCGCACGCGCAUAGGUUUGCAACCUCUCGCCAGAGAAUCCCCUUUACAUGUUGUUGAUGGACGCACGUGUUUGCUGAACAUACAGGACACCAUAUGAUUAAAAACUGCCUCCCUAUCUUGUCAUAAAUAACAGGUAUUUGCAUGAUUUUUACCAUUUUAUAAUCUGUAUGUCGUAUUUUUGGUAUUUUGUACAAGAGUACUAAGUAUUUUGAUCAUAGCGAUUACAGUGGUGUAAGUUACCGGAUCGCAGACGACCAUAGACUGUAAAAAAUAGAUCACGACCCACGGUUCGGCUCCCAUGCGAUUCGCGGAUUAAUAUCUAUACAAAGUUUGUCAUUUGCAUGUUUAUUAAAGUCUUGCAAAUGUUAACACUCAAGUGAUUUUUAAACAAUUUAACCACAAAAGUCUGUUUUUACUUUUUACAGUCUCGUUUUGUCACUCUGCAUCUUGUGGCUGAUAAGCUAUUGAAGAAGAGCUGUCCAUCACUUUAUGGACAUUCAAGUUAACAUAAGUCCGCUUGCUAUUGAAGAAGAGCUGCCCAUCACUUUGACGACGUUCAAGUUAACAUAAGGUAUUGUAAAAACAAUGUUGGCCUAAUACUAUCAACUUAAUACAUUUACUGUAAACUGUGCAGUUCUUUACUCAUACAAUUUCAUGUUUUUUUUUCCUAAUCUGCUUUUAUUACUUUGUCUUGUUUUGUUACUCUGCAUCUUUGUGGCCGCCCAUCACUUUGACGACGUUCAAGUUAACAUAAGGUAUUGUAAAAGCAAUGUUGCCUAAUACUAUCAACUUAAUACAUUUACUGUAAACUGUGCAGUUCUUUACUCAUACAAUUUCCUGUUUUUUUUUCCUAAUCUGCUUUUAUUACUUUGUCUUGUUUUGUUACUCUGCAUCUUUGUGGCCGCCCAUCACUUUGACGACGUUCAAGUUAACAUAAGUCCGCUUGCUAUUGAAGAAGAGCUGCCCAUCACUUUGACGACGUUCAAGUUAACAUAAGGUAUUGUAAAAACAAUGUUGGCCUAAUACUAUCAACUUAAUACAUUUACUGUAAACUGUGCAGUUCUUUACUCAUACAAUUUCAUGUUUUUUUUUUCCUAAUCUGCUUUUAUUACUUUGUCUUGUUUUGUUACUCUGCAUCUUUGUGGCUGCCCAUCACUUUGACGACGUUCAAGUUAACAUAAGGUAUUGUAAAAGCAAUGUUGCCUAAUACUAUCAACUUAAUACAUUUACUGUAAACUGUGCAGUUCUUUACUCAUACAAUUUCAUGUUUUUUUUUCCUAAUCUGCUUUUAUUACUUUGUCUUGUUUUGUUACUCUGCAUCUUUGUGGCCGCCCAUCACUUUGACGACGUUCAAGUUAACAUAAGUCCGCUUGCUAUUGAAGAAGAGCUGCCCAUCACUUUGACGACGUUCAAGUUAACAUAAGGUAUUGUAAAAACAAUGUUGGCCUAAUACUAUCAACUUAAUACAUUUACUGUAAACUGUGCAGUUCUUUACUCAUACAAUUUCAUGUUUUUUUUUUCCUAAUCUGCUUUUAUUACUUUGUCUUGUUUUGUUACUCUGCAUCUUUGUGGCUGCCCAUCACUUUGACGACGUUCAAGUUAACAUAAGUCCGCUUGCUAUUGAAGAAGAGCUGCCCAUCACUUUGACGACGUUCAAGUUAACAUAAGUCCGCUUUUACUACUUUGUCUCGUUUGGUCACUCUGCAUCUGUGUGGCUGCAUAGAAGAAGAGCUGCUCAUCACUUUGACGACAUUCAAGUUAACAUAAGCAGUUGGUGCAUUAAGAUACCUCUCAGAGUUAUUGUGUCAUCUCAAGAAAUAAGGUGUGUCACCCUAGAGAGUUUUCCUGAGUCAGUCAAGGAGCUAUGUGUGACAUGGUGCAUCAUUCUGGGCUUGCAAGGAAACUUUCUUCUACACUUUGAGGAUCCAGACUUUGGAAAUGAGCACUGCAAUUUCACCGAUAUUAAAGAUCUACCAUCAGAUCGAGUGACACUGAAAGUUUUGUUGACAGCUUCUGGUUCGGUUUCUGACUUUGCAUUACAAUUACUACUAGUGCCUCAUCAGUGGAAUGGCCUGAUCCUUUUGUUAUUCCUGAUUUCUCUCAUGAUGUUGAACUUCAGUUGAGCGCUGCAAAUGAUGCCUAUGCCAGGGAUGGAACAGUAAUGGUCAUUUCCAAUGGUGUUAAAUACUAGACAAACCAGCUGAUGUGAAAUGUUGACUGUUUCCAAGGUCCAUCGGUUUAUUUUGUAAAAGACUUUCUUAGCGACUGGGUAUUAACAAAAAAGGUUUGGUGAUAGUUAUAUUGCAUUAAUUGUUCUUUAAAAAAAACUAACUCUAAAAUACGUGGCUUUUAAAAUAAUAAUAAUAAUACUAAUAAUUUGAAAAUUAACAGUGCAAAACUAUUUUUAUCAUAUUUGAGUUUUUAUCAGUAAAAGAAACAUUACACAUACCUGUAUCUAUUAUUACAACUAUGGUGUUGAUUUCACAGUUUAAAAACAUUAAAGAAACCCAUAUAAUAUUUAAAUGAAAUUUGUUUUUAAUAAACAUUUGUAAUAUUCAUUUUUAACAAAAAUGCUUUUCCAAGCCAAUGUUACAAAUUGUUCUUGUGCAAAUAAAUAGUUUUUGAGCUAAUAAUUUGCAA